AUUGAACGCUAGCGGGAUGCUUUACACAUGCGAGUCGAACGGCAGCACGAAAAGAGCUUGCUCUUUUUGGUGGCGAGUGGCGAACGGGUGAGUAAUGUAUCGGAACGUACCCAGUAGCGGGGGAUAACUACGCGAAAGCGUGGCUAAUACCGCAUACGCCCUACGGGGGAAAGGGGGGGAUCGCAAGACCUCUCACUAUUGGAGCGGCCGAUAUCGGAUUAGCUAGUUGGUGGGGUAAAGGCUCACCAAGGCAACGAUCCGUAGCUGGUUUGAGAGGACGACCAGCCACACUGGGACUGAGACACGGCCCAGACUCCUACGGGAGGCAGCAGUGGGGAAUUUUGGACAAUGGGGGAAACCCUGAUCCAGCCAUCCCGCGUGUGCGAUGAAGGCCUUCGGGUUGUAAAGCACUUUUGGCAGGGAAGAAACGGCGCUGACUAAUACUUGGCGCAACUGACGGUACCUGCAGAAUAAGCACCGGCUAACUACGUG
This 492-nucleotide ribosomal RNA is filed under the name uncultured bacterium. Its description in RNAcentral is "partial 16S ribosomal RNA". It matches the Rfam family "Bacterial small subunit ribosomal RNA", at positions 30 to 507 of the family's 1533-position model. The record is from RNAcentral.